This 500-nucleotide ribosomal RNA is filed under the name uncultured bacterium. Its description in RNAcentral is "partial 16S ribosomal RNA". It matches the Rfam family "Bacterial small subunit ribosomal RNA", at positions 30 to 523 of the family's 1533-position model. The record is from RNAcentral.
AUUGAACGCUGGCGGCAUGCCUUACACAUGCAAGUCGAACGGCAGCACGGGAGCAAUCCUGGUGGCGAGUGACGAACGGGUGAGUAAAGUAUCGGAACGUGCCCAGUCGUGGGGGAUAACGUAGCGAAAGUUACGCUAAUACCGCCUACGAUCUAUGGAUGAAAGCGGGGGAUCGCAAGAACUCGCGCGAUUAGAGCGGCCGAUAUCAGAUUAGGUAGUUGGUGGGGUAAAGGCUCACCAAGCCGACGAUCUGUAGCUGGUCUGAGAGGACGACCAGCCACACUGGGACUGAGACACGGCCCAGACUCCUACGGGAGGCAGCAGUGGGGAAUUUUGGACAAUGGGCGAAAGCCUGAUCCAGCCAUGCCGCGUGCAGGAUGAAGGCCUUCGGGUUGUAAACUGCUUUUGUACGGAACGAAAAGGUUUGGCCUAAUAAGCUGAGCUCAUGACGGUACCGUAAGAAUAAGCACCGGCUAACUACGUGCCAGCCGCCGCCGUAA